This 344-nucleotide unclassified non-coding RNA is filed under the name Hevea brasiliensis (rubber tree). Lineage: Eukaryota; Viridiplantae; Streptophyta; Magnoliopsida; Malpighiales; Euphorbiaceae. The record is from RNAcentral.
UAUAAACAAACAUUGAUGCACACCGUACAAAAUCAGCAAACCAAAAAAUUCACUCAGAGCAAUUGAAAUGAUAGCUAAUUAAAGCCUUAAGUCUAGACUAUUUGAAGGAUGCAACACACUGUUUGUGUUAUAGUGAGUAUGAGGAGAAUGCCAGCUGCAACAACAGAGAUUCCGGUCCAUGGACUGUUGAAAUAAUUUUGUCUCAAGUUGGCUAUCCACUUGUGCCUUAUGUUUUUCUCAUAAGAAUUGAGACCUUCAAAAACAUCAGAAAAGUAGAACAUACUAGGUUUGAUAUAACAUCUAGUGUUGCGUAAAAAAGAUGCCACUGCUUCGUUGUUCUCCUG